AUUGAACGCUGGCGGCAGGCCUAACACAUGCAAGUCGAACGGUAACAGGAAGCAGCUUGCUGCUUCGCUGACGAGUGGCGGACGGGUGAGUAAUGUCUGGGAAACUGCCUGAUGGAGGGGGAUAACUACUGGAAACGGUAGCUAAUACCGCAUAACGUCGCAAGACCAAAGAGGGGGACCUUCGGGCCUCUUGCCAUCGGAUGUGCCCAGAUGGGAUUAGCUAGUAGGUGGGGUAACGGCUCACCUAGGCGACGAUCCCUAGCUGGUCUGAGAGGAGGACCAGCCAAACUGGAACUGAGACACGGUCCAGACUCCUACGGGAGGCAGCAGUGGGGAAUAUUGCACAAUGGGCGCAAGCCUGAUGCAGCCAUGCCGCGUGUAUGAAGAAGGCCUUCGGGUUGUAAAGUACUUUCAGCGGGGAGGAAGGCGAUGAGGUUAAUAACCUUGUCGAUUGACGUUACCCGCAGAAGAAGCACCGGCUAACUCCGUGCCAGCCGCCGCAGUAA
RNAcentral lists this ribosomal RNA (506 nucleotides) under uncultured bacterium. RNAcentral's name for it is "partial 16S ribosomal RNA". It matches the Rfam family "Bacterial small subunit ribosomal RNA", at positions 30 to 523 of the family's 1533-position model. The record is from RNAcentral.